GCCUCUGUACUUCAGUGGCACAGCACUGGUCGUGUAAUACGGGGUCGUAAGUUCAAUCCUCACCGAAGGCA
Molecule: non-coding RNA, 71 nt
Organism: Acanthoscelides obtectus
Lineage: Eukaryota; Metazoa; Arthropoda; Insecta; Coleoptera; Chrysomelidae
Source: the annotation of a GenBank genome assembly